Molecule: ribosomal RNA, 107 nt
Filed under: Candidatus Fimousia stercorigallinarum
Lineage: Bacteria; Bacillati; Bacillota; Clostridia; Lachnospirales; Lachnospiraceae
Description: partial 23S ribosomal RNA
Rfam family: Bacterial large subunit ribosomal RNA
Source: RNAcentral
UUCUUCGGAAGUAAGACCCCUUGAAGACGACGAGGUAGAUAGGAUGGAGGUGGAAGUGCAGCAAUGCAUGGAGCUGACCAUUACUAAUCGGUCGAGGUCUUAACCGG